CUGUUUUUAGCUUAAGUGGAUAAAGCAUUGAUCUUCUAAAUCAAUAAUAAAGGUUCAACUCCUUUAAAACGGA
This 73-nucleotide transfer RNA is filed under the name Emiliania huxleyi. Its description in RNAcentral is "tRNA-Arg". It matches the Rfam family "tRNA". From Rfam's summary of the family: Transfer RNA (tRNA) molecules are approximately 80 nucleotides in length. Their secondary structure includes four short double-helical elements and three loops (D, anti-codon, and T loops). Further hydrogen bonds mediate the characteristic L-shaped molecular structure. tRNAs have two regions of fundamental functional importance: the anti-codon, which is responsible for specific mRNA codon recognition, and the 3' end, to which the tRNAs corresponding amino acid is attached (by aminoacyl-tRNA synthetases). tRNAs cope with the degeneracy of the genetic code in two manners: having more than one tRNA (with a specific anti-codon) for a particular amino acid; and 'wobble' base-pairing, i.e. permitting non-standard base-pairing at the 3rd anti-codon position. RNAcentral also lists the same sequence under 4 other names. The record is from RNAcentral. Lineage: Eukaryota; Haptophyta; Isochrysidales; Noelaerhabdaceae.